RNAcentral lists this ribosomal RNA (503 nucleotides) under uncultured bacterium. Its description in RNAcentral is "partial 16S ribosomal RNA". It matches the Rfam family "Bacterial small subunit ribosomal RNA", at positions 30 to 523 of the family's 1533-position model. The record is from RNAcentral.
AUUGAACGCUGGCGGCAGGCUUAACACAUGCAAGUCGAGCGGGGUGAUGGUGCUUGCACUAUCACUUAGCGGCGGACGAGUGAGUAAUGCUUAGGAAUCUGCCUAUUAGUGGGGGACAACAUCUCGAAAGGGAUGCUAAUACCGCAUACGUCCUACGGGAGAAAGCAGGGGAUCACUUGUGACCUUGCGCUAAUAGAUGAGCAUAAGGCGGAUUAGCUAGUUGGUGGGGUAAAGGCCUACCAAGGCGACGAUCUGUAGCGGGUCUGAGAGGAUGAUCCGCCACACUGGGACUGAGACACGGCCCAGACUCCUACGGGAGGCAGCAGUGGGGAAUAUUGGACCAUGGGGGGAACCCUGAUCCAGCCAUGCCGCGUGUGUGAAGAAGGCCUUAUGGUUGUAAAGCACUUUAAGCGAGGAGGAGGCUCUUUUGGUUAAUACCCAAGAUGAGUGGACGUUACUCGCAGAAUAAGCACCGGCUAACUCUGUGCCAGCCGCCGCCGUAA